Molecule: long non-coding RNA, 3529 nt
Organism: Anas platyrhynchos (mallard)
Lineage: Eukaryota; Metazoa; Chordata; Aves; Anseriformes; Anatidae
Source: RefSeq, a predicted model, not a curated record
AUUUUAUGCAUAACAAACGUUUCGGUCCACGUUGGCCAGAAAACUGCCAAGCAAUGUUCUAUAUAUUUGUUUCUAUGGCUUUAGGCAAUUUUCAUUUCAGGAAAAAAAAAACUGCAUAGUACACACGGACAGACAAAAUGCCUAGUGGAGAACAGCUCAAGAAAAAACAUAAUUUUACCUCAAUAAAAGGUAAGAUAACUUGGCUGCUUGGCAGUGCAGGAACACUGUGGGUGCCUGGAAUUCGCUUCUAUUGUCCCCUAUCUGAAUUGCUUUGAAAAAGGUCACAUGAGGAGGAAAGGAAGUUUUGACUUUCACAUGCCUGUUAUUGCUAAGGAAACCACUUCCUUGGUAUUCACAUAUUCAGCAUGUCUCCAGUUUUGGCUCUCUGACAAAUGACAUCGUGCUACUGCAUCAAGUAACAAAGAAGGGUGGAGAAUGCUGUUAGAUAACUCGACGUGUUUUAAACACCAGUACAGCUUUUGUAGGGCUGCCAAGCUUCAAGUACACUCCAAAAGAGCAAGCGGGGGCCUUUUUUAGCUGCAAAUGAGAUACCUGGAGUUCAGAAGGACAGAACAAAGAUUCUGGUCUGCAUCUAACCAAGCUCAGGCUUUCAGAUAUCAGAAACUGAGCAUCUGAAGAUAACAUCUGGUAAUUUCAUUAAGAGAUUUGUAUUUGAACCUUGGGUCCGUGGGACUUUUCCCAUUUUUCUGACUUCCACGUCAAGCAAGGGAACAGCAGGAGUGACAAGCUUCAGUUGGUUAGGACUGGGAACCUCCACCAAUGUUUAUUUUUUAAGAGGAAUGAAGCAAAUUUUCUUUGAAGUAACAUAUUUGCAGAUCUCGAUCUGACAAGAAGGAAAUACAUCAUGAUUAGGCUGAUUUCUGCUUUACGAGGAAAAGAAGUCUAGUGUGCUUCAGGCUAGAAGCGACUUUCACUGUAAAUAUACAACAGUUGCUGAGAUUACUGGGAACAAGCAUGAAGCACACACAAAUCAAAGGAAUUGAACAGCUAAAGCCCUGCUCAAUUUACUGAGAGGCUACUAUGCUUCUGGUAUGUCAAGAUCUAUUUGUCUAAACGUUAUCGGUAAAAACAACAUAAUGUAGUGAACUGAGCCUGGGACUGCGGAGGCCAGAAAUCAAUAUUCUGAUCUUGGCCCUGCCUCAGAUGCACGCGGUGGCCCCAGAGUAGCUGUUUAAUCUCCCUGCGUGCUCACCAGAGAUAAAGCAGCUCAAACACAAUGAACUAUCUCCUCCACCGAAGAGUUGCGCAGAGCAGCUCACAGCUUCCGUGUGCUUCUCCGAAGACGUGAAUUGUUACAGAAAUAUUAACCUCACCUGCGAGACUUCUCCACGUUUGUCUCCAGGAAAAUAUAAGCCGUGUGUCUUUGGAGCUGAAAUUUCAGGUCCGUUCUCCACUAGAAGACCUCGCUCCAACCCCUUGGAGAUUCCAGACGCAGCCUGGUGGCAGCACAGAAGCCACCUGGGUAUCUGCCACGAGAACAUCCUCAUUUUCUUUCUGUUGGUGGCAGGAAUAGAAGCUACCUCCUCAGAAGUUACUGGCUUAAUGCAGAAAUAACAGAGAGAAGCACCUAUACCUAUGGCCUCUUUAUUUGGGAGGACAGGAGAGAAGUAUUGGCUGUAUCCCUCCUCCAUGAAGCAAACGAGUUCCAGGUAUGGAGGACACGAGAGCACCCGUGACCCAGGAAACCGUGUUUUCCAGCCCAAAGGAGAGGAAGUUUCUUAAUUACUCUAGAAACUGCUUCUGAAUGGGCAUUUGGGAAUUGCUGAGAAAAAGCAAGUGCUAAAACGGUCACAGCCGUUUGAAUUAGAGGCUCGUUUCCAGCAGCAGUGCACGACAACGGCACACAGCUUCCCGUCCUGGUGCAAGUAUUUAUUCCCCUGAAGUUCAGUGGCUUUCGACUCUGUCAGCUGUAUCUGCAAUUACAAAAACUGUUAAAGCCCCUACAAAGAGGAAUAUCAAUAGUCACAAAGGCAAGGGGACACCUUUCACAUGGAAAAGCAUAUCUGAAAAUGAGUUUCUGAUGAAAAUGAAAUUGAAAACAGUUUCAUCCUCACCUCUCCAGUUUCUUCAAAAGUUAUCCCUAAAUAUUGUUAUCAUCCCACCUUCUUAUGGGGAAGGAGAGAAGAGGUCUGUCUGAUGGACAGAUUUCAUGGGGAAACUGCAUACAUUUCGGGUGAGCUGUGCCUCAGGCAGCCAGCUGGAAGAAAAGCCCCCAGCCCUAAAGCACUGCAUAAGCUGCCAGUGUUUGGGCUGUGGAGCAAACUCCAGGCAGGCUAAGGAUGAUCAAACAUCCCCAAUCCAUGUGCAAGGGACACCUCCUCAUCCCUACCCGUGCUUCAGCAGGGAAGGCGUAAGAGCACACGCGUAUUUUUGACAAACAGAUGCUUUUUCACAACACGGGAGUACAGAGCACGCUCCCAAGGAGCUGGUAAGAGAACAAAUCACACAGAGCAGAUGGCAGUCCCACUGCUUAAUGCACUGUUGGAAGGUGCCCAGCUAGCCUGGUGAUGAGUGAUACAAGAACCUAUAUAGAAUAAUGCUCUUUGUUAAGCACCAGCUAUUUAUUACAUUAUAUUCCUAAGAACAGCUGAGGUGAAUUAACCACAGUAACCAUACACUGCUCCGACAGCCCUGCAGUAUCCGUGCUGCUGCCGUGGCUGAUGGCACCUCCUGGGCAGAUGUGAACCCGUUCAAAGCUAACCCUAAGCCAGCUGCCCAGGUUUGCGUACCGCCAAACCCCAACAAACCGCUCCGCAGGUGCGUUACCGUGUGCUUGCUGCUACUCUAACAGGUUUUGAACAACUUGGAGCUUGCCCAGAGCAGGCUGCAUCCACUCCGACGGCGUAACAAAACCGCAGCUUGACAAUGCUGCACCAGCUGCUGUGCUAUUUAGUGGGGCAAGCACGCAUCUCCACAGCUACUUCGAGUAAAGGAACGGUGACCAUGCUCUCUGAUCUGCUCAAAAGCAGGUAUAACACAAGGUUUUUGUAUUCGUCUCUUUGUAAAGCCAACAUCCACGCCUCCAUAUUAUCAUUUAGCUCUAAACACAUCCAAGUUCCAUUCUUCUUCAUUAAAAAGUCAUUAAGCAAUUUCAUCAAACGCUGCUGCAAAGUGAGAUGUGCUAGGACUCACAAAUUACAUUCUUUAUUGUCUGUCCUAAACUUAAUCUGGUUCUAGGGACAGGUGAGGUAAACAAAGUAGAAGCCUGACCACAAAAUCUGGAUUACCUUGAUAUUCUGGCAACGAAGCUAAGACAACACCACUUUCUUCCGGAGAACAGCCUGUCCCUGUAAGCCUGGUAUCCCACACACAAAAACAGAAACAUUAUUUUUUGCUCAGGCUAUUUCCCUCUGAUGAUGAGCACAUCUUAAACACUUUUAUUGUUUCAUAACCAGCUAGUGAUCAGGUAGCAGCCAUCUUCUGCAUUAUUUCCUGUGGAACAAGGUACGUGAGUACUCCGUGGCUGUUUUGCAGAAGCCAUCUAUCCCUGAACUACCACUGCUCACAU